This 503-nucleotide ribosomal RNA is filed under the name uncultured bacterium. Its description in RNAcentral is "bacterial SSU rRNA". It matches the Rfam family "Bacterial small subunit ribosomal RNA", at positions 28 to 532 of the family's 1533-position model. The record is from RNAcentral.
GAUGAACGCUGGCGGCGUGCUUAACACAUGCAAGUCGAACGGAGAAAGGGUAGCUUGCUAUCUUUUCUUAGUGGCGGACGGGUGAGUAACGCGUGGGUAACCUGCCCUUUGCAGGGGGAUAACAGUGAGAAAUCACUGCUAAUACCGCAUACCAACUUCUUUCGCAUGAAGGAAGUUUGAAAGAUUUAUCGGCAAAGGAUGGACCCGCGUUGGAUUAGCUAGUUGGUGAGAUAACAGCCCACCAAGGCAACGAUCCAUAGCCGGCCUGAGAGGGUGAACGGCCACACUGGGACUGAGACACGGCCCAGACUCCUACGGGAGGCAGCAGUGGGGAAUAUUGUCACAAUAGGGCGAAAGCCUGAUGCAGCGACGCCGCGUGAAGGAUGAAGGUCUUCGGAUUGUAAACUUCUAUCAGCAGGGAAGAAAGGGCCUAUGGCCUAUGACGGUACCUGACUAAGAAGCCCCGGCUAACUACGUGCCAGCAGCCGCGUAAAAGUCUACGG